AAAAAGAUAAAUCCUAUGUUUUUGUGUCCAACGUUUAACUGUCCGUCUUAUAUGAAAUUUUUUUAUAAUUAGUAUUUUUAUUUUUAUUAGAUGAUAAAACAUGAUUAAUACUUUAUGCGUGACUUAUCUUUUUAAUUUUUUCAUAUUUUUUUUCAAAUAAGACAAAUGGUCAAACGUUGGACACGGAAACUCAGGGUUGUCUUUUUU
Molecule: microRNA precursor, 207 nt
Organism: Oryza sativa Indica Group (long-grained rice)
Lineage: Eukaryota; Viridiplantae; Streptophyta; Magnoliopsida; Poales; Poaceae
Rfam family: MIR812 microRNA precursor family
Source: Rfam